Molecule: long non-coding RNA, 732 nt
Filed under: Jatropha curcas
Lineage: Eukaryota; Viridiplantae; Streptophyta; Magnoliopsida; Malpighiales; Euphorbiaceae
Description: long non-coding RNA (JCUR_LNC002631)
Source: RNAcentral
AAAAUCAUUGGCCCAUAUAAAAAACAUGUCUUCUCUCUCUGAAAAAUAAAUGCUUCUCCUCUCCAAAAUUUAAAGGUUUUUGCUCUUUUCCUUGGGCGGCUAUCGGCAACAAAUCUUUAACCAGCCGCAACCCCUUUUUUCUUUUCUCUCUUCUUGCAUAUUUUCUUCUUUUAAUCUUAUUUUUAUUCCUCUUUUAUCUUUUAUUUGCUGCCCUUUAUGGGUCUUCUCCCCAACAUGCAUUUGCCUUUUUCUCAAGACAGAUCUAUGGAUUUGUUCUUACUUUUGGUUUCUGUUUAGAGUCUUCUAAGCUUCUUGGUUUAGGGCAACCACUCAAGGAAAGUUUUAAUAGAAACUUUCUAUGGAGGUGGCUUAGUAAAAGGGAGAUCUGGUCCAUCCUCUAAAUCAAGAUGGGUUUAUGCACUCUGUAACAUCCUGAUUUCUAGAACUUUCUAUUGCAUGAUAGAUUGUUUAGUAGUACCAAUUAGGGUUUUGUACUAAUUUCAAACUAAUUGGAGAAAAUCUUGAUUUGUGAGUCUUGAUGGUGAAUCAAACAUUACAUGCAUAGUUUUCUCAAAUUGACUAUUUUAAUUGCAUAUUAAUGUUUUCAAUUUUAAAAUUGGAUUUGUUUUAAGCCUUGAUUUGAAAUUGGGGGAGAAAUUGAUUUGAUUUUGACCAAAUUAAUUUUAUUUAGACUAUAAUUUAAAUAAUUUUGACUAUUUUAAAUUGAGUGAG